AGAGUUUGAUCCUGGCUCAGAUUGAACGCUGGCGGUAUGCUUAACACAUGCAAGUCGAACGGAAACGAAACUAGCUUGCUAGUAGGCGUCGAGUGGCGGACGGGUGAGUAACGCGUAGGAAUCUGCCUGAUAGUGGGGGAUAGCCCGAAGAAAUUCGGAUUAAUACCGCAUAAUCUAUUCGUAGUAAAGUGGGGGACUUUCGAGCCUCACGCUAUCAGAUGAGCCUGCGUAAGAUUAGCUUGUUGGUAGGGUAAAAGCCUACCAAGGCAACGAUCUUUAGCUGGUCUGAGAGGAUGAUCAGCCACAUCGGGACUGAGACACGGCCCGAACUCCUACGGGAGGCAGCAGUGGGGAAUAUUGGACAAUGGGGGCAACCCUGAUCCAGCAAUACCGCGUGUGUGAAGAAGGCCUGAGGGUUGUAAAGCACUUUCAAUUAUGAAGAAAAGUUAACGGUUAAUAACCGUUGACCUUGACGUUAAUUUUAGAAGAAGCACCGGCUAACUCCGUGCCAGCAGCCGCGGUAAUACGGAGGGUGCAAGCGUUAAUCGGAAUUACUGGGCGUAAAGCGUGCGUAGGCGGUUUAUUAAGUCAGAUGUGAAAGCCCCGGGCUUAACCUGGGAACUGCAUUUGAAACUGGUCAACUAGAGUAUGGUAGAGGAAAGUGGAAUUUCUGGUGUAGCGGUGAAAUGCGUAGAUAUCAGAAGGAACAUCAAUGGCGAAGGCAGCUUUCUGGACCAAUACUGACGCUGAGGUACGAAAGCGUGGGUAGCAAACAGGAUUAGAUACCCUGGUAGUCCACGCCGUAAACGAUGAUAACUAGCCGUUGGGGGGAUUUACCCCUUAGUGGCGAAGCUAACGCGUUAAGUUAUCCGCCUGGGGAGUACGGCCGCAAGGCUAAAACUCAAAGGAAUUGACGGGGACCCGCACAAGCGGUGGAGCAUGUGGUUUAAUUCGAUGCAACGCGAAGAACCUUACCUGGUCUUGACAUCCUGCGAACUUUCUAGAAAUAGAUUGGUGCCUUCGGGAACGCAGUGACAGGUGCUGCAUGGCUGUCGUCAGCUCGUGUCGUGAGAUGUUGGGUUAAGUCCCGUAACGAGCGCAACCCCUAUCCUUAUUUGCCAGCACAUUAUGGUGGGAACUAUAAGGAGACUGCCGGUGAUAAACCGGAGGAAGGCGGGGACGACGUCAAGUCAUCAUGGCCCUUACGACCAGGGCUACACACGUGCUACAAUGGGAAGGACAAAGAGCCGCGAAGCCGCGAGGUGUAGCUAAUCUCAUAAAUCUUUUCGUAGUCCGGAUUGGAGUCUGCAACUCGACUCCAUGAAGUCGGAAUCGCUAGUAAUCGUAGAUCAGAAUGCUACGGUGAAUACGUUCCCGGGUCUUGUACACACCGCCCGUCAUACCAUGGGAGUGGGUUGCACCAGAAGUGGCUAGUCUAACUUUGUGAGGACGGUCACCACGGUGUGAUUCAUGACUGGGGUAAAGUCGUAACAAGGUAACC
This 1501-nucleotide ribosomal RNA is filed under the name uncultured bacterium. RNAcentral describes it as "bacterial SSU rRNA". It matches the Rfam family "Bacterial small subunit ribosomal RNA". The record is from RNAcentral.